This 252-nucleotide ribosomal RNA is filed under the name uncultured bacterium. RNAcentral describes it as "partial 16S ribosomal RNA". It matches the Rfam family "Bacterial small subunit ribosomal RNA", at positions 524 to 776 of the family's 1533-position model. The record is from RNAcentral.
UACGUAGGGGGCAAGCGUUGUCCGGAAUUAUUGGGCGUAAAGCGCGCGCAGGCGGUCAUUUAAGUCUGGUGUUUAAUCCUAGGGCUCAACCCUAGGUCGCACUGGAAACUGGGUGACUUGAGUACAGAAGAGGAAAGUGGAAUUCCACGUGUAGCGGUGAAAUGCGUAGAGAUGUGGAGGAACACCAGUGGCGAAGGCGGCUUUCUGGACGAUAACUGACGCUGAGACGCGAAAGCGUGGGGAGCAAACAGG